This 253-nucleotide ribosomal RNA is filed under the name uncultured bacterium. Its description in RNAcentral is "partial 16S ribosomal RNA". It matches the Rfam family "Bacterial small subunit ribosomal RNA", at positions 524 to 776 of the family's 1533-position model. The record is from RNAcentral.
AACGUAGGACACAAGCGUUAUCCGGAGUUACUGGGCGUAAAGCGCACGUAGGCGGAUACUUAAGUCAGGGGUGAAAUCCCGGGGCUCAACCCCGGAACUGCCUUUGAUACUGGGUAUCUCGAGUCCGGAAGAGGUGAGUGGAAUUCCGAGUGUAGAGGUGAAAUUCGUAGAUAUUCGGAGGAACACCAGUGGCGAAGGCGGCUCACUGGUCCGGUACUGACGCUGAGGUGCGAAAGCGUGGGGAGCAAACGGG